This 468-nucleotide ribosomal RNA is filed under the name uncultured bacterium. Its description in RNAcentral is "partial 16S ribosomal RNA". It matches the Rfam family "Bacterial small subunit ribosomal RNA", at positions 28 to 507 of the family's 1533-position model. The record is from RNAcentral.
GACGAACGCUGGCGGCGUGCUUAACACAUGCAAGUCGAACGGAAAGGCCCUGCUUUUGUGGGGUGCUCGAGUGGCGAACGGGUGAGUAACACGUGAGUAACCUGCCCUUGACUUUGGGAUAACUUCAGGAAACUGGGGCUAAUACCGGAUAGGAGCUCCUGCUGCAUGGUGGGGGUUGGAAAGUUUCGGCGGUUGGGGAUGGACUCGCGGCUUAUCAGCUUGUUGGUGGGGUAGUGGCUUACCAAGGCUUUGACGGGUAGCCGGCCUGAGAGGGUGACCGGCCACAUUGGGACUGAGAUACGGCCCCGAAUCCUACGGGAGGCAGCAGUGGGGAAUAUUGCACAAUGGGCGGAAGCCUGAUGCAGCAACGCCGCGUGGGGGAUGAAGGCCUUCGGGUUGUAAACCGCUUUCGCCUGUGACGAAGCGUGAGUGACGGUAAUGGGUAAAGAAGCACCGGCUAACUACGUG